This 113-nucleotide transfer RNA is filed under the name Ceratitis capitata (Mediterranean fruit fly). Its description in RNAcentral is "tRNA-Tyr". It matches the Rfam family "tRNA". Rfam says of the family: Transfer RNA (tRNA) molecules are approximately 80 nucleotides in length. Their secondary structure includes four short double-helical elements and three loops (D, anti-codon, and T loops). Further hydrogen bonds mediate the characteristic L-shaped molecular structure. tRNAs have two regions of fundamental functional importance: the anti-codon, which is responsible for specific mRNA codon recognition, and the 3' end, to which the tRNAs corresponding amino acid is attached (by aminoacyl-tRNA synthetases). tRNAs cope with the degeneracy of the genetic code in two manners: having more than one tRNA (with a specific anti-codon) for a particular amino acid; and 'wobble' base-pairing, i.e. permitting non-standard base-pairing at the 3rd anti-codon position. The record is from RNAcentral. Lineage: Eukaryota; Metazoa; Arthropoda; Insecta; Diptera; Tephritidae.
CUUCGAUAGCUCAGUUGGUAGAGCGGUGGACUGUAGAUUGAUAAACUAACAUAUAAAUAUAUAACGAUGAAAAGAAAUCCAUAGGUCGCUGGUUCAAAUCCGGCUCGAAAGAA